AAGGAUUCUACCAUUCAAUGAGCUACAACCCCAACAAUUAUUUUAAUAAAUAUAAUCAUUUUAUGUAAGCAAUCUAUUUUUCUCAAAAACAGAGUAUUAAAUUUGUAAGUAUUAAGUGUGCAAAGUCCUUUUGAUAGUACUUUGUAUGAUAUUCUCUCAAGAUAAAAAUAAAUAGGACCAGAGGCUUAAAUACACUCUUAAGUAGUUAGUCCCUGGUGAUAAACCAUUUCAGGAGCAGAGCCAGGACUGUCAUAGGCUUUCCAAUUUCAAUAAUCUGCAAUUCUCAAAUACAUAAAUUGCUCUUCUAAAGCCUAGAAUUUGGCUCUAAAGAGUAA
RNAcentral lists this long non-coding RNA (335 nucleotides) under Marmota monax (woodchuck). Lineage: Eukaryota; Metazoa; Chordata; Mammalia; Rodentia; Sciuridae. The record is from RNAcentral.